Molecule: ribosomal RNA, 325 nt
Filed under: uncultured bacterium
Lineage: Bacteria
Description: bacterial SSU rRNA
Rfam family: Bacterial small subunit ribosomal RNA
Source: RNAcentral
GAUGAACGCUGGCGGCGUGCCUAACACAUGCAAGUCGAGCGAAGCGAUUUAACGGAAGUUUUCGGAUGGAAGUUAAAUUGACUGAGCGGCGGACGGGUGAGUAACGCGUGGGUAACCUGCCUCAAAGAGGGGACAACAGUUGGAAACGACUGCUAAUACCGCAUAAGCCCACGACCCGGCAUCGGGUUGAGGGAAAAGGAGCGAUCCGCUUUGAGAUGGCCUCGCGUCCGAUUAGCUAGUUGGUAAGGUAACGGCUUACCAAGGCAAUGAUGCAUAGCCGAGUUGAGAGACUGAUCGGCCACAUUGGGACUGAGACACGGCCCAA